Molecule: ribosomal RNA, 266 nt
Filed under: uncultured bacterium
Lineage: Bacteria
Description: partial 16S ribosomal RNA
Rfam family: Bacterial small subunit ribosomal RNA
Source: RNAcentral
GUCCACGCCGUAAACGAUGGGCACUAGGUGUGGGAGGUGUCGACUCCUUCCGUGCCGUAGCUAACGCAUUAAGUGCCCCGCCUGGGGGAGUACGGCCGCAAGGCUAAAACUCAAAGGAAUUGACGGGGGCCCGCACAAGCAGCGGAGCAUGUUGUUUAAUUCGACGCAACGCGAAGAACCUUACCUGGGUUUGACAUGACCGUGUAACUCCUGGAAACAGGAGCCCCUCGCAAGAGGCGCGGCCACAGGUGGUGCAUGGCUGUCGU